GAAGUUUAAAGGCGGCGUAAAGCUGUCGCUAAAAGGGAUGGGACCUGCGAUGCAUUAGCUAGUUGGUAAGGUAACGGCUUACCAAGGCGAUGAUGCAUAGCCCGAGUUGAGAGACUGAUCGGGCCACAUUGGGGACUGAGACACGGGCCCAAACUCCUACGGGAGGCAGCAGUAGGGAAUCUUCCACAAUGGACGAAAGUCUGAUGGAGCAAACGCCGCGUGAGUGAAGAAGGUUUUCGAUCGUAAAGCUCUGUUGUUGGUGAAGAAGGAUAGAGGUAGUAACUGGCCCUUUAUUUGACGGUAAUCAACCAGAAAGUCACGGGCUAACUACGUGCCAGCAGCCGCGGUAAAU
This 352-nucleotide ribosomal RNA is filed under the name uncultured Lactobacillus sp. RNAcentral describes it as "bacterial SSU rRNA". It matches the Rfam family "Bacterial small subunit ribosomal RNA", at positions 186 to 525 of the family's 1533-position model. Lineage: Bacteria; Bacillati; Bacillota; Bacilli; Lactobacillales; Lactobacillaceae. The record is from RNAcentral.